AAUCCAGAGUAUCGGAGAGGAAAGUGGAAUUCNUAGUGUAGCGGUGAAAUGCGUAGAUAUUAGGAAGAACACCAGUGGCGAAGGCGACUUUCUGGACGAAAACUGACGCUGAGGCGCGAAAGCCAGGGGAGCGAACGGGAUUAGAUACCCCGGUAGUCCUGNCCGUAAACGAUGGGUACUAGGUGUAGGAGGUAUCGACCCCUUCUGUGCCGGAGUUAACGCAAUAAGUACCCCGCCUGGGGAGUACGACCGCAAGGUUGAAACUCAAAGGAAUUGACGGGGGCCCGCACAAGCGGUGGAGUAUGUGGUUUAAUUCGACGCAACGCGAAGAACCUUACCAGGUCUCGACAUUGAUGGACAGAACCAGAGAUAGUUCCUCUUCUUCGGAAGCCAGAAAACAGGUGGUGCACGGUUGUCGUCAGCUCGUGUCGUGAGAUGUUGGGUUAAGUCCCGCAACGAGCGCAACCCCUAUCUUAUGUUGCCAGCACGUAAAGGUGGGAACUCAUGAGAGACUGCCGCAGACAAUGCGGAGGAAGGCGGGGAUGACGUCAAAUCAUCAUGCCCCUUAUGACCUGGGCUACACACGUACUACAAUGGGAGUUAAUAGACGGAAGCGAGAUCGCGAGAUGGAGCAAACCCGAGAAACACUCUCUCAGUUCGGAUCGUAGGCUGCAACUCGCCUACGUGAAGUCGGAAUCGCUAGUAAUCGCAGGUCGGCAUACUGCGGUGAAUACGUUCCCGGGCCUUGUACACACCGCCC
This 760-nucleotide ribosomal RNA is filed under the name uncultured bacterium. RNAcentral describes it as "bacterial SSU rRNA". It matches the Rfam family "Bacterial small subunit ribosomal RNA", at positions 638 to 1395 of the family's 1533-position model. The record is from RNAcentral.